GAUAAACGCUGGCGGCGUGCAUAACACAUGCAAGUCGAACGAUGAAGCUUAAAAGAUUUCUUCGGAAUGAACUUAAUUGGAUUAGUGGCGGACGGGUGAGUAACGCGUGAGUAACCUGCCUUGUACAAGGGGAUAGCCGUUGGAAACGACGAAUAAUACCCUAUGACAUCAAAUAAUCGCAUGAUAAUUUGAUCAAAGAUUUAUCGGUAUAAGAUGGACUCGCGUCUGAUUAGCUAGUUGGUAGAGUAAAAGCCUACCAAGGCAACGAUCAGUAGCCGGCUUGAGAGAGUGUACGGCCACAUUGGGACUGAGACACGGCCCAGACUCCUACGGGAGGCAGCAGUGGGGAAUUUUGCACAAUGGGGGAAACCCUGAUGCAGCGACGCCGCGUGAUUUAGAAGGCCUUCGGGUUGUAAAAAUCUUUUGUAUGGGAAGAAAAUGACAGUACCAUACGAAUAAGAACCGGCUAAUUACGUG
Molecule: ribosomal RNA, 477 nt
Filed under: uncultured bacterium
Lineage: Bacteria
Description: partial 16S ribosomal RNA
Rfam family: Bacterial small subunit ribosomal RNA
Source: RNAcentral